UUUGAUCCUGGCUCAGAUUGAACGCUGGCGGAAUGCUUUACACAUGCAAGUCGAACGGUAGAGGGGGCAACCCCUUGAGAGUGGCGAACGGGUGAGUAAUAUAUCGGAACGUGCCCAGUCGUGGGGGAUAACGUAGCGAAAGUUACGCUAAUACCGCAUACGAUCUACGGAUGAAAGCGGGGGACUCGCAAGAGCCUCGCGCGAUUGGAGCGGCCGAUAUCAGAUUAGGUAGUUGGUGGGGUAAAGGCUCACCAAGCCAACGAUCUGUAGCUGGUCUGAGAGGACGACCAGCCACACUGGAACUGAGACACGGUCCAGACUCCUACGGGAGGCAGCAGUGGGGAAUUUUGGACAAUGGACGCAAGUCUGAUCCAGCCAUUCCGCGUGCAGGAUGAAGGCCCUCGGGUUGUAAACUGCUUUUGUACGGAACGAAAAGGUUUCUAUUAAUACUAGGAGCUCAUGACGGUACCGUAAGAAUAAGCACCGGCUAACUACGUGCCAGCAGCCGCGGUAAUACGUAGGGUGCAAGCGUUAAUCGGAAUUACUGGGCGUAAAGCGUGCGCAGGCGGUUAUGUAAGACAGAGGUGAAAUCCCCGGGCUCAACCUGGGAACUGCCUUUGUGACUGCAUAGCUAGAGUACGGUAGAGGGGGAUGGAAUUCCGCGUGUAGCAGUGAAAUGCGUAGAUAUGCGGAGGAACACCGAUGGCGAAGGCAAUCCCCUGGACCUGUACUGACGCUCAUGCACGAAAGCGUGGGGAGCAAACAGGAUUAGAUACCCUGGUAGUCCACGCCCUAAACGAUGUCAACUGGUUGUUGGGUCUUCACUGACUCAGUAACGAAGCUAACGCGUGAAGUUGACCGCCUGGGGAGUACGGCCGCAAGGUUGAAACUCAAAGGAAUUGACGGGACCCGCACAAGCGGUGGAUGAUGUGGUUUAAUUCGAUGCAACGCGAAAACCUUACCCACCUUUGACAUGUAC
RNAcentral lists this ribosomal RNA (979 nucleotides) under uncultured bacterium. Its description in RNAcentral is "bacterial SSU rRNA". It matches the Rfam family "Bacterial small subunit ribosomal RNA", at positions 12 to 991 of the family's 1533-position model. The record is from RNAcentral.